AUGACCGUUUGCCACCUCCUUCUUGGUCGACCAUGGCAAUUCGACCGUGGUGUCAUCCACAAUGGGCGCACCAAUCACCAUAGCUUUAAGAUGAAAGGGAAGGAGUAUGUGCUACGACCUAUGUCUCCUAGUCAAGUGAUAGCCGACAAGCAACCCACCCACCAUGGAGAGAAGAGUGAGAAAGUGACCCAACCAAAAGUGAGUGAGAGCCACAAGCCAAAUAUGAGCGCCUCUUCGCCUAGAGAGAAAAACCUCAUCCUAUUUGCUACCAAAAGUGAGAUAAGAGAAGUGUGUGAGAACCCAUCGAGUGUGAUGCACUUCGUCCUCGUGUGCAAAGAUGGAGAGCCAACAACUAACACCUCUCACGAGUUACCUUUAGUGUUUCAGUCUCUUUUGCAGGAAUUCAAAGAUGUCUUCCCCGAUGAGCUACCUCCGGGUCUACCUCCUCUACGAGGCAUUGAGCAUCGAAUCGACCUCAUCCCCGGAGCGCCACUUCCAAACAAAGCCCCAUACUGUGUCAAUCCCGAAGAAACCAAGGAGAUUCAACAACAAGUACAACAACUCAUCGACAACGGUUAG
This 579-nucleotide ribosomal RNA is filed under the name Triticum aestivum (bread wheat). RNAcentral's name for it is "partial small subunit ribosomal RNA". The record is from RNAcentral. Lineage: Eukaryota; Viridiplantae; Streptophyta; Magnoliopsida; Poales; Poaceae.